CUGCCGGUGCCCGGCCACCCCCGGCCCCACCGAGCUGGCGCUGCCGUUGAGCCCAAAUCUCCUCGCCAGCCCGGGGAGCCGCUGCCCACCCCACAGAUUCCUGCCCACCCCGCUGCCACCGACCCCUCCUCACCGGCCCGGCGGGGACCCAGCCUUGACCUUGUCACCCCAACCGGGCACAGGGCCACCCGCCUCACCGGGCACGAGUGUCCCCCACCCGCUGUCUCCCAGCCCAGCACCCACCAGCGCAUCCCCCCGCAAGCAGCGGCCGCCCCCGGUCGGUCUCUCCCCGCUCCGCCGCAUCGCCCGCGCUCCCCGCGCUCCCCACGCCGCCACCCCCGCAGCCCGUCCCGGGGUCCCGCAGCCCCGUACCUGCCCCGCAGCCCCUCCCGUGGGCAGCCGCCGGUAGCCGGUCGAGGAGCGCGGUCAGGAGCCGCUCGGGGGGCGCGGGCGCGGCGGGGGCGCAGCCGCAGCCGCAGCAGCACCGGGCGGCGGGCGGCGGCUCCGGGCUCGGCGGCUCCCGGUCCCGGUCCCGGUCCCGAUCGCGGUCGCAGCCCGGUGACGGGUCCUCAGGGGAGCGGAGCGGCGCCUCGGGCGGCCGUAGCUCCAGCCAGCGGCCCUCGCUGCCCGGUACCGGCCCCGCGGGCCCCGCCGGCUCCUCGGGGGAGGCGGGCGGGCGCGACAGGCUCUGCCGCCGCGGCGCCGGCACCGACCCCGGCCCCGGUACCUGCCCCGGGGGGGCGGCGGGGCGGACGGGCAGGUGCGAGCCCCGGCUUCUUCAGCAACUUCUCCAGCGGCUUCAUGGCCGCCCGGGCGCGGCGGCGGCUCAGGGGCCCAUCGGCGGCGGUGGCGGCUCCGUUCGGCUCCGCUCGGGCUCGGGCCGCGGCACCGCUCCCCGCCCGCCCCGCACCGGCUGCGCCUUGCGCCCGCCCCACACCGGCCCCGCCGCCAGCACCGCCCCGCCCCGGUACGGCCCCGCCGCCGCCGACCCCGGCACCUGCCCGCCCCUUUCCCCGCACCGCCGCCGCCCCCGGGCCCGCCAACGGCACCUGCCCGCCCCCUUCCCGCACCGCCGCGCUCGGUACCGAGCCCGGCCCGGGGCUGCGGUGA
Molecule: long non-coding RNA, 1110 nt
Filed under: Taeniopygia guttata (zebra finch)
Lineage: Eukaryota; Metazoa; Chordata; Aves; Passeriformes; Estrildidae
Description: lncRNA (ENSTGUG00000026752.1)
Source: RNAcentral